GUAAGGACCGCCCCCGGCACGCCUCUCAGCCACCCGUGGAGCCACGCUGGUAGAGCUGUGCAGGGAGCAGAGCGCCCAGGACUGAGCCCAGCUUUACCCUUGCCACCAAGGGCUAAUCCAGGAGUGACUCUGGGGCCGGGGAUUUAGCUCAGUGGUUCUGCCGCCUGCCUCACAAGUCCAAGGACCCGAGUUUGAUCCCCGGUACCAAAAAAAAAAAAAAAAAAGUAACUGUGGAUGUGGACAUCCUCCUCAUGGGGGAUCAGCCACAUAGGAGGAAGCCAUGUUCCUCCAUGGAAUGCAGUUUUUCUCUGCUCACCUCCUGGCAUGUCCAUGUGCGAGGUCUUCCAUCAAGAAGCCCCACGUCUGUGGACACCAUCCCGAGGCAAGGCUCCUGCAGGUGCAGAAACUGAAUUUCUAGAAUUCUGAAUAUGCUGGAGAUACCUGGCCCAGAAAAAGAUGGGUGAGAAUCACAAGCUUGAGAUCAGGUUAUUCUAUCAGUGGCUGACCUAUCCUCUCAGGUGUAAAGAGGGAAAAGUCCACCUAUACCUCACACCCAUGUUCAUUCUUUUUAGUAUGGUAUCAAAUUGAUUGUAGGAAAAGAGAAAUAAAUGAACAAUUUUUGAACCUUUACUUUGACUUUUGAUUCCAACCUUUCCCAUCAUAAUUAAGGUCAAUACAAAAUCAUGUUUGGAAUUUUGCAAUAAAUGACCUCUAAAUGUUUCUACUGAGUGCCCUGAGGUAGGAAGAAGACUUGCAGAAAGUCAGGCUUACAUGGAGGAGUAAGGUAGAUUUACAAGACCAAUAAGUAUAUAGAAAGAACGAGGUCAGGAGGCAUGGUUCAAAAGACGAUCCUACAACUCAGUAUUACAAAAUCUUAACUCUUACAGUCUGAUCCACAUAUUAUGAGUUUUUAGAUGAAAAUUCCAUUAGGAAAUUCACAUGGAGCUCACAAGAUCUUACCUAUUUCUUGCUUAGAACUCAAGCUAUGAAAAACUCUGAAAUUUGAUGAAAUAUUAUAUAAUGAUAACAAG
This 1031-nucleotide long non-coding RNA is filed under the name Heterocephalus glaber (naked mole-rat). RNAcentral describes it as "lncRNA (ENSHGLG00000031086.2)". Lineage: Eukaryota; Metazoa; Chordata; Mammalia; Rodentia; Bathyergidae. The record is from RNAcentral.